CUAACACAUGCAAGUCAACUUGAAACUACCGCUUGCGGUAUUGGAUGGUGGCGAACGGGUGAGUAACGCGUAGACAACCUACCAUUUAAUUUGGGAUAAUUCACUGAAAAGAGGACUAAUACCGAAUGUGUUCUUAAGAUGGCAUCAUCUUGAGAAAAAAGACUGAGGUCGUUAAAUGAUGGGUCUGCGUAUCAUUAGUUAGUUGGUAAGGUAACGGCUUACCAAGACAUCGAUGAUUAGCUGGUCUGAGAGGAUGAUCAGCCACACUGGGACUGAGAUACGGCCCAGACUCCUACGGGAGGCAGCAGUGAGGAAUAUUGCACAAUGGGGGCAACCCUGAUGCAGCAACGCCGCGUGUACGAAGAAUCAGAAUACUGUGUAAAGUACUGUUAGAAGGGACGAAAUAUUAGAUUAGGAGUCUAAUUUGCCGGUACCUUCUAAGAAAGCUCCGGCUAACUCC
This 460-nucleotide ribosomal RNA is filed under the name uncultured bacterium. Its description in RNAcentral is "bacterial SSU rRNA". It matches the Rfam family "Bacterial small subunit ribosomal RNA", at positions 48 to 504 of the family's 1533-position model. The record is from RNAcentral.